Molecule: unclassified non-coding RNA, 950 nt
Filed under: Hevea brasiliensis (rubber tree)
Lineage: Eukaryota; Viridiplantae; Streptophyta; Magnoliopsida; Malpighiales; Euphorbiaceae
Source: RNAcentral
AGGAUACAUAACCCUCAUUGACGAACCAACGAUCCUCGAUAACAUUAUAAUAAUAAAUAAAAGGAUCCAUCACAUCCAAUAUCAUCAGAAGAAGUAGAAUUACAUGUCAAAUGAGGCAUUAGCUUUUUAUGCUGCCAAAGAAUCUAGAAAGCGGCAAAGGACCAUCAGCUUCAUCGUCGCUUGUAGACUGCUUCAACCUCGACCUCAACUGAUGCUUCUUUUCUUUCUUCCUUCUCUUAGACUUGGAUCUUGAUUUUCUGGAUUCUCUAUCUUCAUCGUCAGAACUUGAAGAUUCAGAUGAUGAGCUUGAAGAGCUGGAAUCGGAAUAUCUCCUUGAACGCUUUCUCUUUUUGCUUCUCUGUUUCCUUGCAUCUUUGUCCUUCUUAUCCUUUUUGCGGCUGUGUUUACUGCUGGAAUGAUUCCUUCCAUGAGAGAGUUUGCUGGCCCUUUCAGCAUCUAGCUGAGCCCUGUAUUCCCUCAUCAUUUUAUCUUUGUCUGCUUCUAGCUCUCCUUUUCUCACUUCUUCUUCCUUCUGUUUCUGUUUGAACUCUUCCCAGGUAACUGUAUGAGAUGUUUUGAGGCUUGCUAAACGAGCCGCAUGCCACUCUGGUGUAUGAAAAGAACCAUCCACCAUUCCAUCAUCAACUUCAUCAGGUCCACCUGAGCUAGAACCCAACCUUGCUCGCUGCAUAGCUUUGUAAGCUUGAUUUUUUCCCAUUUUUUUUACUUUUGGGUUCAAAAUCAAAAGGGAAAACCCCCAGUUCAGAACGAACAAUUUCAAGAGCAAAAAGAGAGUAGUUGUGGCAUAAAAAGGAAGAUCUUGAGGAAACUUUAUAGGUUUUGGGGUGGACUUUGAGAUGAAAGGGUUAUCAAAACACACGAUGAUAACAGAUUGGUAUAGAUCUUCUUUUCCACAAGCAAAAAUACAACAAUUUGGGAAUUACCGGACU